GUGGGGAAUUUUGGACAAUGGGCGCAAGCCUGAUCCAGCAAUGCCGCGUGCAGGAAGAAGGCCUUCGGGUUGUAAACUGCUUUUGUACGGAACGAAACGGUCCUGGUUAAUACCUGGGGCUAAUGACGGUACCGUAAGAAUAAGCACCGGCUAACUACGUGCCAGCAGCCGCGGUAAUACGUAGGGUGCGAGCGUUAAUCGGAAUUACUGGGCGUAAAGCGUGCGCAGGCGGUUUUGUAAGACAGACGUGAAAUCCCCGGGCUCAACCUGGGAAUGGCGUUUGUGACUGCAAAGCUGGAGUGCGGCAGAGGGGGAUGGAAUUCCGCGUGUAGCAGUGAAAUGCGUAGAUAUGCGGAGGAACACCGAUGGCGAAGGCAAUCCCCUGGGCCUGCACUGACGCUCAUGCACGAAAGCGUGGGGAGCAAACAGGAUUAGAUACCCGAGUAGUCC
RNAcentral lists this ribosomal RNA (450 nucleotides) under uncultured bacterium. RNAcentral describes it as "partial 16S ribosomal RNA". It matches the Rfam family "Bacterial small subunit ribosomal RNA", at positions 354 to 796 of the family's 1533-position model. The record is from RNAcentral.